RNAcentral lists this ribosomal RNA (117 nucleotides) under Pteropus alecto (black flying fox). The record is from RNAcentral. Lineage: Eukaryota; Metazoa; Chordata; Mammalia; Chiroptera; Pteropodidae.
AGCCACGGUCCAUGCCACCCUGAACAAACUCGAUGUCUGAUCUUGGAAGCUAAGCAGGGUCAGGCCUGGUUAGUAUUUGGAUGGGAGAUCACCUAGGAAGACCAGGUGCUGUAGGAA